GACGAACGCUGGCGGCGUGCCUAAUACAUGCAAGUCGAACGCAUUUUCUUUCACCGUAGCUUGCUACACCGAAAGAAAAUGAGUGGCGAACGGGUGAGUAACACGUGGGUAACCUGCCCAUCAGCGGGGGAUAACACUUGGAAACAGGUGCUAAUACCGCAUAAUUCCAUUUACCGCAUGGUAGAUGGAUGAAAGGCGCUUUUGCGUCACUGAUGGAUGGACCCGCGGUGCAUUAGCUAGUUGGUGGGGUAACGGCCUACCAAGGCUGCGAUGCAUAGCCGACCUGAGAGGGUGAUCGGCCACACUGGGACUGAGACACGGCCCAGACUCCUACGGGAGGCAGCAGUAGGGAAUCUUCGGCAAUGGACGCAAGUCUGACCGAGCAACGCCGCGUGAGUGAAGAAGGUUUUCGGAUCGUAAAACUCUGUUGUUAGAGAAGAACAAGGAUGAGAGUGGAAAGUUCAUCCCUUGACGGUAUCUAACUAGAAAGCCACGGCUAACUACGUG
RNAcentral lists this ribosomal RNA (507 nucleotides) under uncultured bacterium. RNAcentral describes it as "partial 16S ribosomal RNA". It matches the Rfam family "Bacterial small subunit ribosomal RNA", at positions 28 to 507 of the family's 1533-position model. The record is from RNAcentral.